GCGGAAGUAGCUCAGUUGGUAGAGCGUCAGCCUUCCAAGCUGAAUGUCGCGGGUUCGAGCCUCGUCUUCCGCU
Molecule: transfer RNA, 73 nt
Filed under: Chitinophagales bacterium
Lineage: Bacteria; Pseudomonadati; Bacteroidota; Chitinophagia; Chitinophagales
Description: tRNA-Gly
Rfam family: tRNA
About the family: Transfer RNA (tRNA) molecules are approximately 80 nucleotides in length. Their secondary structure includes four short double-helical elements and three loops (D, anti-codon, and T loops).
Source: RNAcentral